GAUGAACGCUGGCGGGAGGCCUAACACAUGCAAGCCGAGCGGUAUUGUUUCUUCGGAAAUGAGAGAGCGGCGUACGGGUGCGGAACACGUGUGCAACCUACCUUUAUCUGGAGGAUAGCCUUUCGAAAGGAAGAUUAAUACUCCAUAAUAUAUUGAUUGGCAUCAGUUGAUAUUGAAAGCUCCGGCGGAUAAAGAUGGGCACGCGCAAGAUUAGCUAGUUGGUGAGGUAACGGCUCACCAAGGCGAUGAUCUUUAGGGGGCCUGAGAGGUGAUCCCCACACUGGUACUGAGACACGGACCAGACUCCUACGGGAGGCAGCAGUGAGGAUAUUGGUCAAUGGGUGCAAGCCUGAACCAGCCAUCCCCGCGUGAAGGACGACUGCCCUAUGGGUUGUAAACUUCUUUUGUAUAGGGAUAAACCUACUCUACGUGAGAUAGCUGAAGUACUAUACGAAUAAGC
RNAcentral lists this ribosomal RNA (460 nucleotides) under uncultured bacterium. Its description in RNAcentral is "bacterial SSU rRNA". It matches the Rfam family "Bacterial small subunit ribosomal RNA", at positions 28 to 491 of the family's 1533-position model. The record is from RNAcentral.